This 1649-nucleotide long non-coding RNA is filed under the name Hordeum vulgare. RNAcentral describes it as "long non-coding RNA (HVUL_LNC016339)". The record is from RNAcentral. Lineage: Eukaryota; Viridiplantae; Streptophyta; Magnoliopsida; Poales; Poaceae.
CCCGGAUGUGCUUCUCCAACCCCAUGUGCAAGGGGUGUCACAACUGGCGCCAACGGUUGGGUUGGUACUUUUUUCUCAUUCACUCUCUUUGGGAAAAAUAAAUCCCAUAUUUUUCAUCAAUGAUCACUUUAGACUGACCUUACAUUCGCACGAUAGGUGAUGCAUGGCAACAUAACAUGGGUGACACGCACUAGACACGCAACUUAACUUAGGUGGUGUUUCUUUAUCCAGGGACUAGACUAAAAAGUCCCUUUUAGUCCCUAGGUAAAGAAACAGGAGGGACAUUUCUUUAAGGGACUAAAAAAAGUCUCUAUUGGAGGGACUUUUUUCUUUAGUCCCUGGGACUAAAAAAAGUCUAGUCCCUUGGAAAGAAACACCACCUUACAUCUGACAAUGGGAUUGGGUAGGUGAGCCAACCUCGUACAUGUGCUAGUAAAUGUACCCUUUACUCCGCAACAGAAACAGUGCAUAGCCUUCUCUCUUCCUCUUAGUUUGGGCGUUCAUAUAAAACCAUUGCAAGAGUCAUGAAAAUGCACAAGAUAUGCAAGUACUGUUUCAACCCUUCUAGUUAGGUUGAGAAGGUGGAAAGAGAGCUACUUCUCAGGAAUGGAGGAGGCCAUAGGAUACUCAUUCGUAGGCAUAGGCGGCGUUAGGAUGAGUGUUUCUAGUACGACUCGGAAUUCCAGUUGCUUUAUUCAUAUGUAAAUCACCACGAUUCUCAUCAACAUAUAGAACAAGAAUAAGCCUAGAGGAACCACUUGCAGGCUUGGUCUCCAAGUAGACGUUAGCAUAGCCGUGAAAAGAUAACCUUCAGCUUUACGAUUGGCCGACUCAACAGGAAAGAGGGCAAAGACCAGCAGGUAGUGCCUGUUGGUUUUGCACCGUCAAAAUCAUCAGGAGCACCACGUAUGUGUACGUGCAAAGCUAACUUAAACAAGCAUACUGGCACCUUGAUCGAUUAGUGCAUUGUACACGCGUACCUGCAAUUGACCGGAGACUUGCGUAUGUAUUGUAUAUACGCGUCGGCUGGCUAGCUUUGAUUGAUUGGAUGAAUCUCACGACGGGAACUCGAAUCAACUCGGCUCUCUCGACAAGAACGAACAAAGGCAAAGGCAUUGAAUCUUUGAUAACAAGCUUGCUAAACUCUCUUUAGGACUUAACUACGCAUGCGAGUCUUCCCAUGCGGCGGCUAAUUCCAUCUUUCUAUCAUGCAUGCAUGCAAUGACAUCAUCAAGAUUAUCUAUAUUGACUUAAAAUUUAAAAAGUUUUAUCUCUAAAACCGUUAAUUUAAUUGACAAUCCGUUUUCAUCGUUGGCUUUGUCGCAACGAGAUCUUCAAAACUAGACCACAUGUUGACAUGUUUCUAGAACUUUUUUCUCCAUCCAUAAUUGGCACAUCUUUAGACUUACUUGUCGUAUUAUUAGCCACUUACUUGUCUAAAAAAAUAACUUAAUUGCCAUUUUUUUCUCGAUGUGAAUCAUGUGCUGCAUGUAUUCAUAUUGCAGCACACAACAACGUGGGCUAGAAGGAUAUGCAGAUGGCAUCACAAAAAUAUGCAUUGCAUGCAAAGCGUCACACAGAAAAUCGAUAGAAAAAAGUGUCUCACACAAAAUAUGUGUUGACUGACCUUAUUCACUAGCUAAAUGCAU